UACGGAGGAUCCGAGCGUUAUCCGGAAUUAUUGGGUUUAAAGGGUGCGUAGGCGGCCAUUUAAGUCAGCGGUGAAAUUUUGCAGCUUAACUGUAACAGUGCCGUUGAUACUGUUUGGCUAGGGUUUGGUUGUAGUGUGCGGAAUGUGUGGUGUAGCGGUGAAAUGCUUAGAUAUCACACAGAACACCGAUUGCCAAGGCAGCACACUAAGUCAUUAUUGACGCUGAGGCACGAAAGUGUGGGGAUCAAACAGGAUUAGAUA
Molecule: ribosomal RNA, 261 nt
Filed under: uncultured prokaryote
Description: partial 16S ribosomal RNA
Rfam family: Bacterial small subunit ribosomal RNA
Source: RNAcentral